UGGGGAAUUUUGGACAAUGGGCGAAAGCCUGAUCCAGCAAUGCCGCGUGUGUGAAGAAGGCCUUCGGGUUGUAAAGCACUUUUGUCCGGAAAGAAAUCCUUGGCUCUAAUACAGUCGGGGGAUGACGGUACCGGAAGAAUAAGCACCGGCUAACUACGUGCCAGCAGCCGCGGUAAUACGUAGGGUGCAAGCGUUAAUCGGAAUUACUGGGCGUAAAGCGUGCGCAGGCGGUUUGCUAAGACCGAUGUGAAAUCCCCGGGCUCAACCUGGGAACUGCAUUGGUGACUGGCAGGCUAGAGUAUGGCAGAGGGGGGUAGAAUUCCACGUGUAGCAGUGAAAUGCGUAGAGAUGUGGAGGAAUACCGAUGGCGAAGGCAGCCCCCUGGGCAAUACUGACGCUCAUGCACGAAAGCGUGGGGAGCAAACAGGAUUAGAUACCCUGGUAGUCCACGCCCUAAACGAUGUCAACUAGUUGUUGGGGAUUCAUUUCCUUAGUAACGUAGCUAACGCGUGAAGUUGACCGCCUGGGGAGUAC
RNAcentral lists this ribosomal RNA (534 nucleotides) under uncultured bacterium. RNAcentral describes it as "partial 16S ribosomal RNA". It matches the Rfam family "Bacterial small subunit ribosomal RNA", at positions 355 to 883 of the family's 1533-position model. The record is from RNAcentral.